CAGUAGCCGCGGUAAAACGUAGGGUGCAAGCGUUAAUCGGAAUUACUGGGCGUAAAGCGUGCGCAGGCGGUUCGCUAAGACAGAUGUGAAAUCCCCGGGCUUAACCUGGGAACCGCAUUUGUGACUGGCGGGCUAGAGUAUGGCAGAGGGGGGUAGAAUUCCACGUGUAGCGGUGAAAUGCGUAGAGAUGUGGAGGAAUACCGAUGGCGAAGGCAGCCCCCUGGGCCAAUACUGACGCUCAUGCACGAAAGCGUGGGGAGUAAACAGGAUUAGAUACCCCCGUAGUCCCUGUCUCUUAUAC
Molecule: ribosomal RNA, 301 nt
Filed under: uncultured bacterium
Lineage: Bacteria
Description: partial 16S ribosomal RNA
Rfam family: Bacterial small subunit ribosomal RNA
Source: RNAcentral